This 429-nucleotide ribosomal RNA is filed under the name Pseudomonadota bacterium. RNAcentral's name for it is "Proteobacteria bacterium partial 16S ribosomal RNA". It matches the Rfam family "Bacterial small subunit ribosomal RNA", at positions 355 to 776 of the family's 1533-position model. The record is from RNAcentral. Lineage: Bacteria; Pseudomonadati; Pseudomonadota.
UGGGGAAUAUUGGACAAUGGGCGAAAGCCUGAUCCAGCUAUGCCGCGUGUGUGAAGAAGGUCUUCGGAUUGUAAAGCACUUUAAGUUGGGAGGAAGGGCAGUAAGCGAAUACCUUGCUGUUUUGACGUUACCGACAGAAUAAGCACCGGCUAACUCUGUGCCAGCAGCCGCGGUAAUACAGAGGGUGCAAGCGUUAAUCGGAAUUACUGGGCGUAAAGCGCGCGUAGGUGGUUCGUUAAGUUGAAUGUGAAAGCCCCGGGCUCAACCUGGGAACUGCAUCCAAAACUGGCGAGCUAGAGUAGGGCAGAGGGUGGUGGAAUUUCCUGUGUAGCGGUGAAAUGCGUAGAUAUAGGAAGGAACACCAGUGGCGAAGGCGACCACCUGGGCUCAUACUGACACUGAGGUGCGAAAGCGUGGGGAGCAAACAGG